ACCACUUUGUCAUUCAUGACUGGGGUGAAGUCGUAACAAGGUAACCGUAGGGGAACCUGCGGUUGGAUCACCUCCUUA
Molecule: ribosomal RNA, 78 nt
Filed under: Escherichia coli
Lineage: Bacteria; Pseudomonadati; Pseudomonadota; Gammaproteobacteria; Enterobacterales; Enterobacteriaceae
Description: partial 16S ribosomal RNA
Rfam family: Bacterial small subunit ribosomal RNA
Source: RNAcentral